GGCGGCGUGCCUAAUACAUGCAAGUCGAACGCUUCUUUUUCCACCGGAGCUUGCUCCACCGGAAAAAGAGGAGUGGCGAACGGGUGAGUAACACGUGGGUAACCUGCCCAUCAGAAGGGGAUAACACUUGGAAACAGGUGCUAAUACCGUAUAACAAUCAAAACCGCAUGGUUUUGAUUUGAAAGGCGCUUUCGGGUGUCGCUGACGGAUGGACCCGCGGUGCAUUAGCUAGUUGGUGAGGUAACGGCUCACCAAGGCCACGAUGCAUAGCCGACCUGAGAGGGUGAUCGGCCACAUUGGGACUGAGACACGGCCCAAACUCCUACGGGAGGCAGCAGUAGGGAAUCUUCGGCAAUGGACGAAAGUCUGACCGAGCAACGCCGCGUGAGUGAAGAAGGUUUUCGGAUCGUAAAACUCUGUUGUUAGAGAAGAACAAGGAUGAGAGUAACUGUUCAUCCCUUGACGGUAUCUAACCAGAAAGCCACGGCUAACUACGUGCCAGCAGCCGCGGUAAUACGUAGGUGGCAAGCGUUGUCCGGAUUUAUUGGGCGUAAAGCGAGCGCAGGCGGUUUCUUAAGUCUGAUGUGAAAGCCCCCGGCUCAACCGGGGAGGGUCAUUGGAAACUGGGAGACUUGAGUGCAGAAGAGGAGAGUGGAAUUCCAUGUGUAGCGGUGAAAUGCGUAGAUAUAUGGAGGAACACCAGUGGCGAAGGCGGCUCUCUGGUCUGUAA
RNAcentral lists this ribosomal RNA (730 nucleotides) under uncultured Bacilli bacterium. RNAcentral's name for it is "bacterial SSU rRNA". It matches the Rfam family "Bacterial small subunit ribosomal RNA", at positions 38 to 739 of the family's 1533-position model. Lineage: Bacteria; Bacillati; Bacillota; Bacilli. The record is from RNAcentral.